Molecule: ribosomal RNA, 218 nt
Filed under: uncultured fungus
Lineage: Eukaryota; Fungi
Description: partial small subunit ribosomal RNA
Rfam family: Eukaryotic small subunit ribosomal RNA (bases 91-218)
Source: RNAcentral
GGUCUGACUGGGUGGUCUGGCCGAGAGGUCAGUACUGCUCUGGUUGGACUUUUACUUUCUGGGGAACCGGCGUGCACUUAACUGGGUGCGUCGUGGGAUCCAGGACUUUUACUUUGAGUAAAUUAGAGUGUUCAAAGCAGGCCUACGCUUGAAUACUUUAGCAUGGAAUAAUAGAAUAGGACUUUGGUUCUAUUUUGUUGGUUUCUAGGACCGAGGUA